RNAcentral lists this ribosomal RNA (2903 nucleotides) under Escherichia coli. RNAcentral describes it as "23S ribosomal RNA". It matches the Rfam family "Bacterial large subunit ribosomal RNA". The record is from RNAcentral. Lineage: Bacteria; Pseudomonadati; Pseudomonadota; Gammaproteobacteria; Enterobacterales; Enterobacteriaceae.
GGUUAAGCGACUAAGCGUACACGGUGGAUGCCCUGGCAGUCAGAGGCGAUGAAGGACGUGCUAAUCUGCGAUAAGCGUCGGUAAGGUGAUAUGAACCGUUAUAACCGGCGAUUUCCGAAUGGGGAAACCCAGUGUGAUUCGUCACACUAUCAUUAACUGAAUCCAUAGGUUAAUGAGGCGAACCGGGGGAACUGAAACAUCUAAGUACCCCGAGGAAAAGAAAUCAACCGAGAUUCCCCCAGUAGCGGCGAGCGAACGGGGAGCAGCCCAGAGCCUGAAUCAGUGUGUGUGUUAGUGGAAGCGUCUGGAAAGGCGCGCGAUACAGGGUGACAGCCCCGUACACAAAAAUGCACAUGCUGUGAGCUCGAUGAGUAGGGCGGGACACGUGGUAUCCUGUCUGAAUAUGGGGGGACCAUCCUCCAAGGCUAAAUACUCCUGACUGACCGAUAGUGAACCAGUACCGUGAGGGAAAGGCGAAAAGAACCCCGGCGAGGGGAGUGAAAAAGAACCUGAAACCGUGUACGUACAAGCAGUGGGAGCACGCUUAGGCGUGUGACUGCGUACCUUUUGUAUAAUGGGUCAGCGACUUAUAUUCUGUAGCAAGGUUAACCGAAUAGGGGAGCCGAAGGGAAACCGAGUCUUAACUGGGCGUUAAGUUGCAGGGUAUAGACCCGAAACCCGGUGAUCUAGCCAUGGGCAGGUUGAAGGUUGGGUAACACUAACUGGAGGACCGAACCGACUAAUGUUGAAAAAUUAGCGGAUGACUUGUGGCUGGGGGUGAAAGGCCAAUCAAACCGGGAGAUAGCUGGUUCUCCCCGAAAGCUAUUUAGGUAGCGCCUCGUGAAUUCAUCUCCGGGGGUAGAGCACUGUUUCGGCAAGGGGGUCAUCCCGACUUACCAACCCGAUGCAAACUGCGAAUACCGGAGAAUGUUAUCACGGGAGACACACGGCGGGUGCUAACGUCCGUCGUGAAGAGGGAAACAACCCAGACCGCCAGCUAAGGUCCCAAAGUCAUGGUUAAGUGGGAAACGAUGUGGGAAGGCCCAGACAGCCAGGAUGUUGGCUUAGAAGCAGCCAUCAUUUAAAGAAAGCGUAAUAGCUCACUGGUCGAGUCGGCCUGCGCGGAAGAUGUAACGGGGCUAAACCAUGCACCGAAGCUGCGGCAGCGACACUAUGUGUUGUUGGGUAGGGGAGCGUUCUGUAAGCCUGUGAAGGUGUACUGUGAGGUAUGCUGGAGGUAUCAGAAGUGCGAAUGCUGACAUAAGUAACGAUAAAGCGGGUGAAAAGCCCGCUCGCCGGAAGACCAAGGGUUCCUGUCCAACGUUAAUCGGGGCAGGGUGAGUCGACCCCUAAGGCGAGGCCGAAAGGCGUAGUCGAUGGGAAACAGGUUAAUAUUCCUGUACUUGGUGUUACUGCGAAGGGGGGACGGAGAAGGCUAUGUUGGCCGGGCGACGGUUGUCCCGGUUUAAGCGUGUAGGCUGGUUUUCCAGGCAAAUCCGGAAAAUCAAGGCUGAGGCGUGAUGACGAGGCACUACGGUGCUGAAGCAACAAAUGCCCUGCUUCCAGGAAAAGCCUCUAAGCAUCAGGUAACAUCAAAUCGUACCCCAAACCGACACAGGUGGUCAGGUAGAGAAUACCAAGGCGCUUGAGAGAACUCGGGUGAAGGAACUAGGCAAAAUGGUGCCGUAACUUCGGGAGAAGGCACGCUGAUAUGUAGGUGAAGUCCCUCGCGGAUGGAGCUGAAAUCAGUCGAAGAUACCAGCUGGCUGCAACUGUUUAUUAAAAACACAGCACUGUGCAAACACGAAAGUGGACGUAUACGGUGUGACGCCUGCCCGGUGCCGGAAGGUUAAUUGAUGGGGUCAGCGCAAGCGAAGCUCUUGAUCGAAGCCCCGGUAAACGGCGGCCGUAACUAUAACGGUCCUAAGGUAGCGAAAUUCCUUGUCGGGUAAGUUCCGACCUGCACGAAUGGCGUAAUGAUGGCCAGGCUGUCUCCACCCGAGACUCAGUGAAAUUGAACUCGCUGUGAAGAUGCAGUGUACCCGCGGCAAGACGGAAAGACCCCGUGAACCUUUACUAUAGCUUGACACUGAACAUUGAGCCUUGAUGUGUAGGAUAGGUGGGAGGCUUUGAAGUGUGGACGCCAGUCUGCAUGGAGCCGACCUUGAAAUACCACCCUUUAAUGUUUGAUGUUCUAACGUGGACCCGUAAUCCGGGUUGCGGACAGUGUCUGGUGGGUAGUUUGACUGGGGCGGUCUCCUCCUAAAGAGUAACGGAGGAGCACGAAGGUUGGCUAAUCCUGGUCGGACAUCAGGAGGUUAGUGCAAUGGCAUAAGCCAGCUUGACUGCGAGCGUGACGGCGCGAGCAGGUGCGAAAGCAGGUCAUAGUGAUCCGGUGGUUCUGAAUGGAAGGGCCAUCGCUCAACGGAUAAAAGGUACUCCGGGGAUAACAGGCUGAUACCGCCCAAGAGUUCAUAUCGACGGCGGUGUUUGGCACCUCGAUGUCGGCUCAUCACAUCCUGGGGCUGAAGUAGGUCCCAAGGGUAUGGCUGUUCGCCAUUUAAAGUGGUACGCGAGCUGGGUUUAGAACGUCGUGAGACAGUUCGGUCCCUAUCUGCCGUGGGCGCUGGAGAAUUGAGGGGGGCUGCUCCUAGUACGAGAGGACCGGAGUGGACGCAUCACUGGUGUUCGGGUUGUCAUGCCAAUGGCACUGCCCGGUAGCUAAAUGCGGAAGAGAUAAGUGCUGAAAGCAUCUAAGCACGAAACUUGCCCCGAGAUGAGUUCUCCCUGACUCCUUGAGAGUCCUGAAGGAACGUUGAAGACGACGACGUUGAUAGGCCGGGUGUGUAAGCGCAGCGAUGCGUUGAGCUAACCGGUACUAAUGAACCGUGAGGCUUAACCUU